RNAcentral lists this unclassified non-coding RNA (312 nucleotides) under plant metagenome. Its description in RNAcentral is "partial contains 5.8S ribosomal RNA, internal transcribed spacer 2, and large subunit ribosomal RNA". The stretch from base 1 to 105 matches the Rfam family "5.8S ribosomal RNA", at positions 50 to 154 of the family's 154-position model. The record is from RNAcentral.
AAAAUGCGAUACUUGGUGUGAAUUGCAGAAUUCCGCGAAUCAUCGAAUCUUUGAACGCACAUUGCGCCCUCUGGCAUUCCGGGGGGCAUGCCUGUCCGAGCGUCAUUACGCACCCUCAAGCCCGGCUUGUGUGAUGGGCCCCGGCGUCUCGUUCGCGAGACGGGCCCGAAAGGCAGCGGCGGCGUCGACCCGAUGAGCCCGAGCGUAUGGGGACUUCUGUCACACGUUCGCGGUGCGGACCGGCGCCUGCUUGACUUUUCUGAUUAUCCAGGUUGACCUCGGAUCAGGUAGGGAUACCCGCUGAACUUAAGC